GCAUUUCCUUAGCAUAUCCAAAACCUCAGAACAACUUGAUGUAACAAAAACUAUGGACUCUCUUUUUUUCUAGCAUUUUAAAUACAGUUGCUCCUUUACACUUAAGGAAAAUUAAGGAAAACAGUCUGACUCUGUGGUAUAAUGAGCACACUCGCACCCUAAAGAGAGCAGCCUGGAAAAUGGAGCGCAGCUGGAGGAAAACAAAACUAGAGGUAUUUCGUAUUGCUUGGUGGGAAAGUAACUUAUUCUACAGAAAAACAUUAAAAACUGCUAGAUUUGAUUACUUUUCGUCUCUUUUAGAAGAAAACAAACAUAACCCCAGGUAUUUAUUCAAUACAGUGGCUAAAUUAAUGAAAAAUAAAGCAUCAACAAGUGUUGACAUUUCCCAACAGCACAGCAGUAAUGACUUUAGGAACUACUUUACUUCUAAGAUCGAUACUAUUAGAGAUAAAACUGCAACCAUGCAUCCGUCAGCUACAGUAUCGCAUCAGACAGUGCACUAUAGAUCCCCUGAGAAACAGUUCCACUCAUUCUCUACUAUAGGAGAGGAAGAAUUGUAUAAACUUGUUAAAUCAUCUAAACCAACAACAUGUAUGUUAGACCCUAUUCCAUCUAAGCUCCUAAAAGAGGUGCUUCCAAAAGUCAUAGAUCCUCUUCUGACUAUUAUUAAUUCAUCAUUGUCAUUAGGAUAUGUCACCAAAACCUUCAAACUGGCUGUUAUUGAGCCUCUCAUCAAAAAAACACAACUAGACCCCAAAGAACUAGUUAAUUACAGACUGAUCUUGAAUCUCCCUUUUCUUUCCAAGAUACUAGAAAACUCCAGCUGGUCCAAAAUGCAGCAGCUAGAGUUCUUACUAGAACCAGGAAAUAUUACCAUAUUAGCCCGGUUGUGUCAGCACUGCCCUGGCUCCCUAUUAAACAUUGUAUAGAUUUUAAAAUCUUGCUUAUUACUUAUAAAGCCCUAAAUGGUUUAGCACCUCAGUAUUUGAACGAGCUCUUGAUACAUUAUAGUCCUCCAUGUCCGCUGCAUUCUCAAAACUCUGGCAAUUUGAUAAUACCUAGAAUAUCAAAGUAAACUGCGGGUGGC
Molecule: long non-coding RNA, 1087 nt
Organism: Cyprinus carpio (common carp)
Lineage: Eukaryota; Metazoa; Chordata; Actinopteri; Cypriniformes; Cyprinidae
Source: Ensembl